GUGCAACGACUGUGUCAUUCAUUUAAAGUGCAUUUCUAUAUUGGUCUGAUUGAAAAUCAUGCUUUCUGGUUUAAACCAGUUUUUUUCACUUUGCUUUAAAGCAAAUAAUACUCCCCCUGGAGUAAAGUAAAGCAAUAAUUUAACUCAAAUAGUAUUUUCACUUCAAACCAGAGAUUUUCAUGUCACGUGACCACAUGACGUCACAUCAGCUCGCUCCUUCGUGAAGUUUGCUGUCCGCCAUUACCUCGCUUCAACAGAGAGGACGAGUGCUGUUCAAGAAAACUCUUUUAAACAAGCAUAAUCAAAAAUGAUGAGAAUGGAUUGAGUACUAGACGGUUUGCUGUUGUUUCCUGAAAAGGUCACAGUUUAGCCACAUUGCUGAAUUUG
Molecule: long non-coding RNA, 387 nt
Organism: Sebastes umbrosus (honeycomb rockfish)
Lineage: Eukaryota; Metazoa; Chordata; Actinopteri; Perciformes; Sebastidae
Exons: 3
Source: RefSeq, a predicted model, not a curated record